RNAcentral lists this ribosomal RNA (479 nucleotides) under uncultured anaerobic ammonium-oxidizing bacterium. RNAcentral's name for it is "bacterial SSU rRNA". It matches the Rfam family "Bacterial small subunit ribosomal RNA", at positions 364 to 833 of the family's 1533-position model. The record is from RNAcentral.
UUUCGCAAUGCCCGAAAGGGUGACGAAGCGACGCCGCGUGGGUGAGGAAGGCCUUCGGGUUGUAAAGCCCUGUCAGGAGUUAUGAAAUGUAAGUGCGCUAAUAUCGUGCUUAUUUGACAAAGGCUCCAAAGGAAGCCACGGCUAACUCUGUGCCAGCAGCCGCGGUAAUACAGAGGUGGCGAGCGUUGUUCGGAAUUAUUGGGCGUAAAGAGCACGUAGGUGGGUUUGCAAGUCAGAUGUGAAAGCCUUCUGUUCAACGGAAGAAUUGCAUCUGAAACUGCUAAUCUUGAGUAUAGGAGGGGAGAAUGGAACUUCUGGUGGAGCGGUGAAAUGCGUAGAUAUCAGAAGGAACGCCGGCGGCGAAAGCGAUUCUCUGGCCUAUUACUGACACUCAGUGGGCGAAAGCUAGGGGAGCAAACGGGAUUAGAUACCCCGGUAGUCCUAGCCGUAAACGAUGGGCACUAAGUAGAGGGGUUUUA